UACGGGGGGGGUAAGCGUUGUUCGGAAUUACUGGGCGUAAAGGGCUCGUAGGCGGCCAACUAAGUCAGACGUUAAAUCCCUCAGCUUAACUGGGGAACUGCGUCUGAUACUGGAUGGCUUGAAUCCGGGAGAGGGAUGUGGAAUUCCAGGUGUAGCGGUGAAAUGCGUAGAUAUCUGGAGGAACACCGGUGGCGAAGGCGACAUCCUGGACCGGUAUUGACGCUGAGGCGCGAAAGCCAGGGGAGCAAACGGG
This 253-nucleotide ribosomal RNA is filed under the name uncultured bacterium. RNAcentral's name for it is "partial 16S ribosomal RNA". It matches the Rfam family "Bacterial small subunit ribosomal RNA", at positions 524 to 776 of the family's 1533-position model. The record is from RNAcentral.